AUGGUGCGCGCGCUCUCGCCUUCUUCCCUCGUCGCCCCCUCCUCCUUCUACACCCUGCUGCUGCUCGUGGUGGCCACGCUGCUCGGGCAGCACCCGGAGGGGCCGCUGCGGGUGGCGACGGCGCAGACCACGCCGGCGCCGGUGCCGGUCCGCGUCGGGCUGAUCCUGGACUGGGCGACCAAGGUGUCGUUGGCGGUGUCGCUGAGGCGGCGGACCGGCAUUCAGAUGGCCGUAGAGGACUACUACGCGGCGCACCCGGGGUCGGCCACCAGGGUGGAGCUCCACUUCAGCGACUCCAAAGGGGACGUCGUCGGCGACGCCUCCGCCGCGCUGGACCUGAUCAAGAACGCGCAGGUGCAGGCCAUCAUCGGGCCCAAGACGUCGGCGGAGGCAGAGUUCGUUGCCCAACUCGGCAGCCGCGCCCACGUCCCCGUGCUUUCCUACUCCGCCACCUCCCCGUCCAUCUCCCCGACGCAGACGCCCUACUUCGUGCGCACCGCUGCCAACGACUCCUUCCAGGCCACCCCCGUCGCCUCCGUCCUCGCAAGCUUCGGGUGGCGAGAGGUGGCCGUCCUGCACGAGGACUCCCCCUACGGCGCCGGCAUUCUCCCAGCGCUCGCCGACGCGCUCCAGAGCGUCCACAGUGCGGCGAUCAUGGUCGUGGACCGCGUGCCCGUUCCGAGCGGCGCGGACGAAGAUGCCCUUGACGCGCUCCUCUAUCGCCUCAAGGCGAUGCCGACGCGUGUGUUCAUCGUGCACGCCUCGCACAGCCUCGCCGCGCAGCUCUUCCGGCGGGCCAGCAAAGCCGGGAUGAUGUCCGACGGCUACGCCUGGGUCGCCACCGACGGCGUAGGCAACUUCGUGGACAGGUUCGACCCCGAGGACCUAGACUUCAUGCAGGGCGUCGUCAGCCUCCGUCCUCACGUGAAGUACACGAACCAAGUCAAGAACUUCUCUGCGCGGUUCAGGGCGAGGUACCGGAGGGAGAACCCGGCCUCCAACGAUGACGUCCUCAACGACGCCACUGUGACGGGGCUCUGGUCGUACGACACGGCGUGGGCGAUAGCCGUGGCAGCCGAGGCGGCCAGCGUCCCCGGCCCAGCAUUUCGGACACCGCAGAAUAGCACGGCACGUACAGACCUCGACCAGCUCGGCGUGUCGACCACCGGAGAAGCGCUUCUUAGGGCGAUUCUCAACACGACGUUCGACGGGAUGGCAGGCAGGUUCAAGCUGGUGGACGGGCAGCUGCAGGUCGCCGCGUACGAGGUCGUGAACAUCAUCGGGAACGGCGCGGUGACGGUGGGGUUCUGGACGCCGGAGUCCGGCAUCUCGCGGGACCUCAAAGACGGCAGCGGCAACGCUGCGCGGCAGCUGAAACCCAUCUUUUGGCCGGGCGAGAUGUUGUCCCCGCCGAGAGGCUGGACGGCGUCGCAGAACGGGCGGGUGCUCAGGGUCGCCGUGCCGGUGAAGCACGGGUUCACGCAGUUCGUGGGCGUCGUCAUCUCCGACAACUCGACGAAGCCGAAGAUCACCGGGUACUGCAUCGACGUGUUCAACGAGGUGAUGAAGAACCUGUCCUACCCGGUGAGCUACCAGUACAUGCCGUUCCCCGACAGCCCGGACUCGUACGAGAUGCUGGUGGACCAGGUGAGCGAGAGGAAGGCGGACAUUGUGGUCGGGGACGUGACGAUCACGGCGAGCAGGAUGGAGGAGCUGGACUUCACGAUGCCGUUCACGGAGUCCGGGUGGGCAAUGGUGGUGGCCACGGAGCCGGACACGAGCGGCAGCAUGUGGAUCUUCCUGCAGCCGCUCACCACCAGCCUUUGGCUCGCCAGCCUCGCCUUCUUCUGCUUCACCGGCUUUGUCGUGUGGGUCAUCGAGCACCGCGUCAACCCGGAGUUCCGCGGCACGCCGUCGCAGCAGUUCGGCCUCAUCUUCUACUUCGCCUUCUCAACGCUCGUCUUCGCACACAAGGAGAAGCUGGAGAGCAACCUAUCGAGGUUCGUGGUGAUCAUAUGGGUGUUCGUGGUGCUGAUCCUGACAUCGAGCUACACAGCGAGCCUGACGUCGAUGCUGACGGUGCAGCAACUCCGACCGACAGUGACAGACGUGAAGGAGCUCCAGAGGCGCGGUCAGUACAUCGGGUACCAAGAGGGCACCUUCAUCAAGCCAAGGCUCAAGAAGAUGGGCUUCGACGAGCGAAAGAUGAGAAAGUACAGCUCGGAGGAGCAGUACGCCGAAGCGCUGUCCAAGGGCUCGGCCAAAGGCGGCGUGGACGCGGUGUUUGACGAGAUCCCGUACCUGAAGCUAUUCCUGUCACAGCACUGCGACGGGUACAUGCAGGUGGGGCCUGUGUACAAGACGGACGGCUUCGGGUUCGUCUUCCCAAGGGGGUCGCCCAUGACAGGGGACGUGUCGCGGGGGAUCCUCAACCUGGCCGAGGGGGACACGAUGGCGCAGAUCGAGAAGGCGUGGUUCGGCGAGCCCGGCACUUGCCAGAAUGCGCUGGGCGGCAUCGGCGGCGGCGGCGGCUCGUCGAACCUCAGCUUCUGGAGCUUCGGCGGGCUGUUCCUCAUCACCGGCGUCGUCUCCAGCCUCAUGCUGCUGCUCUACCUCGCCAUCUUCGCGUACCGCGAGCGUGAGGAGCUCCGGGAGGCGGAGGCGAAGGCUGAGGCUGAGGCCGGCUCUGGGAGCGUUUCGGUGCGAAGGCUGCGUGCGUGGCUGCAACACUUCGAUAGGAAGGACCUCAAGUCACCCACCUUCAAGGUGUGGAACGACGAGUCCGUCAGAAACGGCAGCGAGUUUGCGGGUAGGACGCCAAGAUGGAAUGGCAGUGGCGGCGAUGCUAGUAUGACGCCGAGGGCCGGUGGGGAGGAACACGCCAUGAGAGGGACGACCCCGCUAAGCCUGUACAUCAGCUCCGAGAUGGACGCCGGCUCUUCGCCAGAGGGGACGCCAAUGUCGGAGAUCAGUGAGUCAUUCGAGCAAAGGAUCGAGGGGGCAGCAGCCGCAAUGGAGGUGACAAGGCCAACGGCCUCUCAAUUACAACAGUAG
Molecule: ribosomal RNA, 3054 nt
Filed under: Triticum aestivum (bread wheat)
Lineage: Eukaryota; Viridiplantae; Streptophyta; Magnoliopsida; Poales; Poaceae
Description: partial small subunit ribosomal RNA
Source: RNAcentral